This 73-nucleotide transfer RNA is filed under the name Cordylochernes scorpioides. RNAcentral's name for it is "tRNA-Thr". The record is from RNAcentral. Lineage: Eukaryota; Metazoa; Arthropoda; Arachnida; Pseudoscorpiones; Chernetidae.
UGUCCAGGGAUGGGAAUCGAACCCACAGUGUUCCGCUUACCGGGCAGAUGCCAUGUCCACUAGGCUAUUUUUC